CCUAUAAAUGUUCCUAGACUACCCGGCCAACCAAGGCACCUGAGAGGGGCAAACGUUCGUCCACCGUUGGAUGCAAGCGAUUCACUCCCGCUUUUCACCUCAGCCAUCCAUUGCGGUAAUUUUUUCGUCACCAGCUUUCUGCAAAUGAAUGCAUGACAAUUGGGCCCAACCAGGUGUGGAGCCGACAGGAAGAGACAGCCAGAACAGCUCGUUUGCGUAGCCUUUCUUUGUGUACGCGCGGCUCGAGACAGAGGCGACCAAUUCCGCUAGGGUUCUGGCCCGAAGCCUCAUUCGUCCGCCACUCCGCCUCCAUCCUCCGCCGGGUGAAAACCCUAGAUUGGGAUUGGUCCCUCCUCCUCCAAUCCCCGCGCCUCCUCGCUCCUCCCCAAUCCCUCGUCUCUUCUCUUUCUCCCAAGCGGUCGAGCGGCUGCCUCCUGACAGCGAGCUCCGAUGGUGGCGGCGAGCAGGGCAGGAACGGGCGGUCGGGGCGGCGACGAGCAGGGAAGGAUCCGUCGUCCCCACGACUCCCCCGACGACCUGCUUCUGAGCGCCGGCAGGCGACGGUCACCGCCGGUCGCGGGCGUCGCCGCGCAGAGGCCGCGUCAGCCGCCGCCUCGGGUCGACGCCGCCGUCGCGGCUCCUCUAGGUGACUGCCGGAUCUCACCACGAAGAAGCCAUGGGAGGAGAGUAGGUUGGCCGGCCGUGCGCGGCGUUGCGCCACUGGUGGACGAUGGUGGCCGGCCGCACGCACAGCUGGUGGAAGAUGGUGGCCGCGGCUGCUGGUGGUCUCAUUUUCUGACUGUCAAUAAAUAGUGGGAGGAGGGGUGGCCUUGGGAGUCCUCCCGGCUCCGGCGCAAGUAUACGUUGCGAUGCAUUCCGUCCAGCCUGGUGUGGCUCUGGUUGAGGAAUGGCUCUCUCUGCUUGUUGGAACAGGAAGGGAGCAAGCAAGAAAUAUAUCAGCCAAUGAACUGGUUGAUAAAUAGAUUGGACCAAUAUUGGAAAAGAGCACAAGAUUUGAGGAUUAGAGAAUGCUUCUAGACCAGAAGCACCAUCUUUAGACUACGCAUCGAGCGGCUGUUGUUCGAUGUGGGAACUAAAAUUCACUGUUUUGACCCGAUCGGACGAUCAACCAAGGUUUGCCCCCUGGAGUGACAGUCCAAAAUUUACCCUGAACUGAUUAGGGCACUUGCUAAGCAAGUAGUCCAAGACUAGCACCAGCUGAAGAUGAACAAGAAAUUGCAGCAGCUGAAGGCACCAACAAACCUUGAGGUGUCAAAACUUAGUGUGGAAGGCCGUGGGAUGGUCAGGUAAUUGUAAACUAUAUACCUGAUAGCCUUGUGAUGCACAUGAUGAGACAGGCCAUGGUGGGCUGCUGAUGCAGUAUCAACCACUAUUACCAUCACCAUCAAGGGACAGUAAAGAUUGUAUACUGAAUUCUGAGUUCCAUCCCCUAAUCCUCAUUUUGGCCAUUUUGGGGAAUCCCUGUUUUACUAAAGUGGGGCACCUGUUAUCUGUGGCAUUGUCAAGUAUAACAAAUGCCAACCUUUUGGUCAUGUUAAUUCCAGAUUGUAUAGGAACACAUGUGUGGCUAUAGGAGCUUAAGCUCUAUGAUGUGGAUAUGAAAUUUUUAAUAUGUUUGUGUUCUUUGUCCCCUUCUAAAAUUUCAGAGUCACAAUAUUCGUUGCUCGUUUUAUAUCUAGGAGUAAUGCAUUGGUGUGGAUUUGGGAUUGCGGCGGUUGUACCUGCAGAUGUGGCGGAAGGCAAAGCUGAAAUUAUACUGAAGCUUUCCAUCUUUGCCAAGUUUUUUAACCUCUAUUUCUAUUCACAGAGAGGCUUUUAUCAUUUUGUUGCACAGUGCAAGCUUUCCUUUGAUACUUACCAAUUAUUCAAGCAACCUUUAUUAUUUUCUAUAUUCACUGUACCUGCAUAUGUGAGGGUUCUGCCACUGCAGAACAAUGGGGGCCUCUACCUAUGGACCGCGAUAAUGGCAAGUGACUACAAUAGUUCAUCCUUUUAGUGGAGAUUUGAUGAAUAGUCUGUUUCGGGAAUGUGCAGUUGGAGAAUUUGUUCAGAUUGGGUUUGGGUGUCCAGGAGAUUCACCGACAGUAGCACCAGCCAUCAUUGGUUUUUAUGGACUCCAUGGCUGUUCUAGGAAAGGAGCGAAAGGGUGAUUUUUUUGGAGGGUCUGAUCAUUGUUGUUCUGCUUGAUUAGCACAACAAUAGGGUUGCUCCCUCCUGCAAAGUAUCGACCACAUCUAUGCCUCCCUCCACAUCAUCUCCUCUAUUUAUAUCUACAUGGUUUUUUUUGCCAUAUAAUAAAAGGUGAAGAGCGGUGGUAGGGAACCACGCCUACGAGCGUGCUCAUGGUGGUACCCAGAUCCCAACAAUGCAUGGUUACGGAUGUCCUCGGCCAGGAAACUCUUUCUUGUCUCUUCGAUUUUCAGUGACAUCGCUUUGGUUUAUGCUUGAUUCGGUGUGCAUUAUGAUUUUUCUCUUUUUAAGAUUGUUGUUUGGUUGGAUGUAGAAACAAAUGAAGAUGUGAAAAGGUGCGGAUUUGAUAAUGAUAUAUAGUUGUUAAUUUUUUCUGCUUGGUGUUGUUCCCUACUAAAAAGAAAAGCUCUAUAUGAUUGUGACAGGAUAAUUGUGAGGAUAUGAGGCUUCAAGAAAUAACCGUCAUAUUAGGUCUGAAACUUUUGUCUACAUCCCCAACUUAGUGUCGUCUGUUUACUUCAUGUGUUACUGUUAUCAUUGUUGUGCAUUGCCCAUGUUAAACUUUCGCUCUUUUACGAUGAGGGGUUGCCGUGGGAACCGCAUCGGCUCUGUUUUCUGCUUAUUGUGUGUGCUCUGUUGUCCACAUAGUGGUUGCCUCAUUUCUUCUUCUGUUCCUUGACAUGUGCGGUGAUCGGUUUGCUUUGUGUGUUGUCCAAUCUGUUCUAGCUAUCAAGUUUGAUUACUGGUGAGAUGUAAUACCCAAUUGGUCUAUAGCCAAAUCACUUGGGUAGGCACAUGAUAUGUAUGCCACCUAGCAACAAAAUAACCUGUAUUGACACAUCUUCACUGCUAUUUUGGAAUGUAAUUAUUGGUUUUUUGCUUUGCCGGAUUGAUCUCUGGAAUUAUAUUAUUUCAGAAUUUUGGGAUGCUAAAUAUUGCUUUUUGCAUUGCAAUAUUGAUUUAUACCUCUUAUGUUCCGAAUCUAUAUUAUUUAGGACGUACGAUGUGGUUUUUUUUAUAUUUGUUGUCUGUAUUUUGGCACUUCCUUACUCUGAAAGUGCAUUCUGAUAUGUUGUGCAUUUGUGCAUAAAAUAGCCGACUUACAACAACAUUUGGGUGACAACAUGCCACUGUGGAACGAAAUCAUGGUUAAAUAGAUGUAUUGUGCAAUUCUAUAAGCCCGAAAAAAAAACUUCAAGCUUCGUUCAAUCUGAUAUUCUACUUUAAAUUUCUGUUCAGUAGUACACAAAGUAGGACCAAUCAUUCUUGCCCAUUCCAGAGUGUAUAUAUUAUGUGCUCUACAGAAAAUUUGUUGGUUAUCAUCUCCUGCAUAUACUUCUUUUGCAAAUACGCAAAAUCCUUGUGUAUCAUUGCAUUAAAAGAGAGAAACAGCUAUAGAGAGUACAUAUAAUAUCUGAAGUACUAAAGUUUUUUUCUGAAUAGCUCUGAAUCUUGAAUGAUUCCACUGGACACUAAUUACCAAUGUUGCCAUAAUAAUAUUGUUGUAACUAUUAUUCAGAUCUGUAAUCUUGCUGAUUUGAUGUGGUUAGUGUAGUAGUAAAUCUUGCAGCCACCAACUGAUGCUUUUGAGGUUUAACUUUUGCUUCUUUCUUGAGUAGGUUGGUAUAAAGGUGAAGAGCUUCAAGGCCUUGUUGGUUUGCAAGGCGCUGGUUGUUGAUGCGAUCUUAUUUGGAGCCUGCAGAUUAUCCUGGGCAUCAUCAAAAGGAUGGCAGCAAUGGACUUUGUCAUGGAUCUGAGCAAAAAGAAGAGUCCCGGGAAGGUGAUUUGUAGGAAGGAGGUGACCAGUACUGUUCAAAACUGUUGUGUUGGAGGAGGAUUUGGUCCUUUCUUUCGUUAAAAUGGUAAGAGAUGCCUGCAAAGUAUUACUCCACUGAAGUCUGAGAUGAGUAUACAGGAGUAUGAGUCUUCUAUUUGCAGGCUACAGGCAGGGAAGCGUACUGGAGGGUGGCUGCCGGGGCUUGGCGUGAGUUCUUGAUGGCAUGGUGAGGGAGCAAGACAUCAUCAGGUUUACUUACUGAUGUGGCCUCUGCGUCCCGUGCGCUGGUGGUGCAGUCCGCUCAGAUUAGACACAAGCAGGUAGUUGUAGAUACCGUAUCUUCAAACGAGGACUGAGAAAGAAGAGCAGAUUCUAGGUAAAGAGUAUGGUGGAGAAGAAGACCAAGGUGAUUUAUCUCUCUUGUGGACACAAUCAAGUUUAACCCGAGCAAUUGGUUAAUUGGUGCUUAUUGUACUCAUAACAUCUACAGAGUGGGCCAAUAUUCGAAAAGAGCACAAGACUUGAGGAUUUGAGCAUGCUUGUAGGCUAGAAGCAUCACCUUCAGACUUCGUCACUUGUUGAUAGUCUAAAAUUGACCCUGAACUGAUAUGGGCACUUGCUAAGCAAGAUGUCAAAGACAAGCACCAGCUGAAGAUGAAAUAGAAAAUACAGCCGGUAAAGGCACCAACGAAGGAAAACCUUCAGGCGUCAAACAUGAUGGAAGAAUGUUGGAUGGUCAGGUAAUUAGUAUAAUCUACAUGCCUCAACGGCCUUUGUGGGCUGCUGAUGAUCACCCCACAUACUAUGCAAUUUUACUCCUUGGUGCUUGCACAUCCAUGAAAUCCAUAUCCAUGAAAUCUGGAUGUACUGGAUUCCACAUGCUGCAUGCAUAAGUUUGGUUCUCUCUUAUAUAGAGUCCCCAGUUUUGUUCUCACGGUUUAUAGCAUUACAGCAAGUAUAUUAUGGCAAUGAGGAGUUUCAUUUUAAAUUUGUAUUAUUCAUGUUUGCUCCGGUCAUAUAUGUUCUUCUCAUUAUAGCAUUGCAUGUAUUACUCUGUUUUACUAUCAAGGUGUGUCUAUUGUUCUACACAGCUGGUCACCGUCAGUAGCUAGAGAUUUGUCUGAUACUUGCUUGUGACAGCUUCUACUUACUCAUAAAGUGUACAAGUACAAACUUAUUCACAGUAUUAUUGCUUCGUCCUAUGGUAGUAUUCUAGCUUAGAGUAUUUUGGCUUUGUCCCGUGGUAGUACUCUAGCUUAGAGUACUCUAGCUUUGUCUUGUGGUAGUAUUAUUGCUUUAUGGUUCUUCUAGGUAAACCAUCUCAGCUUCAAGAUCAGAAUUCAUUUCUUGGAGGCACUGGUUUUACUAAGCCAUGUUGGUAUUCAGGUGCAUUGCCUUGUAUUUUAGUUCAUUAUAACAAUACUUCUUGGGUAAAAAUGAUCCAUCAAUUAUUUUUGAGGGAAGCAAGAUGUUUACGAUGCCCUCAUUAUAACAACACCCAUCAUCUUGGCAUCAUUCCUGCGUUUUGAGUGAUGACAGUGUGCUUAAGGAGUAUUUUUGAUGUGCCAUUAGGUCAAGUUAAAUAAUGGGAGCAUGUCACGCUUAAAUAUUAUCAUCACUCCCUUCAGUUGGGAGAAUUACCCGGCCAACGGAGGCACUCCCGGGGGCAAGUCUUUGUUGGUCGUUGGAUUCAUGCGACAGUCCAGUUUUUCACCCCCGCGUUGAUUUACAGCCGUCCAUUCAGUUGUUUUCUCGUUCACUCUGGCAAUCCAAGCAAACGACUAUGACAGCUGGGCCUGUUUUCCAGUGGGACCGCGUAUGAGAGAUGGGAUUUCUUCAGUUUCACGUCGCUCAUUUUCAUGUGCGCGUGAAGACAGGUGAAAACCCUAGACGUGGACAAAGCACGCCCAUGGUGAAAAAAAUCCCCAAUCGGCCAAUCCGCAGCCGCCUCUCCUUUCCUGGUUCCUCUCGUUUCCCUGUGGGUGGCGGCGGCAGUGACGACUUGGUUGGAGGGGAUGCGGUAGGAGGAGGGCGCAAAGGGGCGGGAGGGGUGGUCGCCGGGGAGGCGGAGCUGUGCUGGCCACCGCAAGUGAGGAAGAGGAUGGAGCUUGGUGCAGCAGAAGGGGAGAGCCUCAAGGGGUGGGAGCGACGACUACUCCGCCCUCGCCAGCUUCCGCCGCCGCUCCUCCCUUGCGCAGCCGCCGCCGUCCACGGGUUCGGGCGCCGUCUCGGAGAUUGAGGAGCCGGUCGGCCCGCUCAGGGGCGUGGCCAUCGGUGUCCAGCGUGCUGCUCGACGGCCGUUUCUGCAACGUCUGAGGAAGAAGAGAAGGAGGAUAUCAAGCAGGGGAUGUUGGGCUCUAAUGGUUGGAGGUAGCCAUCACUGCCAGUGGUAGCCAGAGAGGUCGUUUGGCUGCUUUGUAUAUGGCACAAGGAGGAAGGGAGCUGGAGACGACGAUGGAACCAAACAAUCCUAUAUCAACAACAGAACCAAACAAUCCUACAUCAACAACAGGUGCUCCCGAGCGAUGGCGGCGGCGGCAGGGAGAGCGCGCCUGAGCGAGGAGGGGGUUUGAAGUGUCCGUGCCAGCGACCUCACCGUCUCCAACCUAUCUGCAGGUCUUCAUGCUACAUUAGGUGUUCUCAAGGAAAAAUACUCGUAUGACAGUGUCUCGAAAAUAUGUAUAUCUAUCAGUGUUAUAUAGUAUAUCUGUCAGUGUUAUAUAUAUUACAGUUCAUACCUAAGUUGUGCAUGAAGUGAUAUUUCUUCAGCAAAAGUUACCUGACUGUAUUUAUUACAGUGUAUUUGACAUAUAAGGAACCUGAGCACAAAAUAAAAUGGCUGAUAUGUGGCAUGCAUCUAAGGUUGUUAGAUGUUUCCGUUUUUUAGUUCCAUAGAUGAGAAGACGCGACUCAGGACGUACUCCUUGGACACGAGACAGACGCGCGGCUGGGCCGCUUCAGCGUUGCCUGCAGCCUUGGGCAAGCUCAGCCUUGGGCAAGCUGAUACUGUCACCAGCGCAGGGCGGCGUGCGCUUGAGAUUCCACUCGAGAUCGACCGGAUUUUGUAGUCAGUCGAGUUGUAGUGUUCAGGAAUCAAAACUUGUGAGGUUGUUAAACUUCAGAGAAGAUGUAAACUGGUAUGAGUUUCAGAAUUAUAUGGCCAUAUGCUCUGUAAUUUUAUCCUAAGGCUGCUAAUAUACGAGUUUCAGAUUUU
Molecule: non-coding RNA, 7202 nt
Organism: Lolium perenne
Lineage: Eukaryota; Viridiplantae; Streptophyta; Magnoliopsida; Poales; Poaceae
Source: RefSeq, a predicted model, not a curated record